Molecule: transfer RNA, 68 nt
Filed under: Podarcis lilfordi (Lilford's wall lizard)
Lineage: Eukaryota; Metazoa; Chordata; Lepidosauria; Squamata; Lacertidae
Description: tRNA.Lys
Rfam family: tRNA (bases 3-60)
About the family: Transfer RNA (tRNA) molecules are approximately 80 nucleotides in length. Their secondary structure includes four short double-helical elements and three loops (D, anti-codon, and T loops). Further hydrogen bonds mediate the characteristic L-shaped molecular structure. tRNAs have two regions of fundamental functional importance: the anti-codon, which is responsible for specific mRNA codon recognition, and the 3' end, to which the tRNAs corresponding amino acid is attached (by aminoacyl-tRNA synthetases). tRNAs cope with the degeneracy of the genetic code in two manners: having more than one tRNA (with a specific anti-codon) for a particular amino acid; and 'wobble' base-pairing, i.e. permitting non-standard base-pairing at the 3rd anti-codon position.
Source: RNAcentral
GAUAGCUCAGUCGGUAGAAUGUGAGACUCUUAAUCUCAGGGCUGUGGGUUAGAGCCCCACAUUGGGCA